UGCGAUCAUACCAGCACUAAUGCACCGGAUCCCAUCAGAACUCCGCAGUUAAGCGUGCUUGGGCGAGAGUAGUACUAGGAUGGGUGACCCCCUGGGAAGUCCUCGCGGUGCA
RNAcentral lists this ribosomal RNA (112 nucleotides) under Rhododendron griersonianum. Lineage: Eukaryota; Viridiplantae; Streptophyta; Magnoliopsida; Ericales; Ericaceae. The record is from RNAcentral.